ACUGUUUGCUGAUGGCUCAGGAUGAACGCUAGCGGCAGGCCUAACACAUGCAAGUCGAGGGGUAACGGAGGAAGCUUGCUUUCAGACGACGACCGGCGCACGGGUGAGUAACGCGUAUGCAACCUACCUAUAACAGGGGGAUAGCCCGGAGAAAUCCGGAUUAAUACCGCAUAAUAUUUAACUAAGGCAUCUUAGUUAUCUUAAAUUUUUUAAAGGUUAUAGAUGGGCAUGCGUAAUAUUAGCUAGUUGGUGAGGUAAAGGCUCACCAAGGCGAUGAUAUUUAGGGGGUCUUAAAGGAUGGUCCCCCACACUGGUACUGAGACACGGACCAGACUCCUACGGGAGGCAGCAGUGAGGAAUAUUGGUCAAUGGGCGAAAGCCUGAACCAGCCAUGCCGCGUGCAGGAUGACUGCCCUAUGGGUUGUAAACUGCUUUUAUAUGGGAAGAAACGAUUCUACGUGUAGAGUUCUGACGGUACCAUAAGAAUAAGGAUCGGCUAACUCCGUGCCAGCAGCCGCGGUAAUACGGAGGAUCCAAGCGUUAUCCGGAUUUAUUAGGUUUAAAGGGUGCGCAGGCGGAAGAAUGAGUCAGUGGUGAAAUCCUACAGCUCAA
This 612-nucleotide ribosomal RNA is filed under the name uncultured bacterium. RNAcentral describes it as "bacterial SSU rRNA". It matches the Rfam family "Bacterial small subunit ribosomal RNA", at positions 8 to 612 of the family's 1533-position model. The record is from RNAcentral.